Molecule: non-coding RNA, 2917 nt
Organism: Callorhinus ursinus (northern fur seal)
Lineage: Eukaryota; Metazoa; Chordata; Mammalia; Carnivora; Otariidae
Source: RefSeq, a predicted model, not a curated record
AAACAGCAGCAGCAGAGGAAACUGGGGCCCAGAGGGUCAAGAAGUUCAUCAGGAUCUGAGAGGCCCCGGACAGACCCUCCCCACCGACCUCCUGGUCAACCUAGGACAUUAGGGAGGCACGGUUUUCAGAGGGCCGCGGUAAACCUCUCGCUGGGAAACACGGUCCCUCCUGCGGGUGCUCUUGGGAAAGCAGGGAGCAGAGCUGGGAGGGAAGAACCCCUGCUUUGGUCUCUGCCAGGUCCCUGUGACUCGGGCGCCUGAGACAACUCAGUCCUCCGACCCUGGGACUCUGCAUCUGCGAAAUGGAGGUUGUUUCAGGUACUGCUCUUUCACCAUGGAACCUUCUUCCACCUAAUUCCGGUGAGCUUCACUGAACUAAGUUGUCUUCAGAAAGAAGUGUUUCCAGAUUGGCCCUCAACAGCACAUCCAUCACUGCUGGUCACCCCACUUCAUUUUUCCUCCUGGACCUUGUCACUCCCUGGCAUCACAUAUAUACUGAUUUUCUCUCUUCCCUGGCGGGGGAGGGGGCAAAAGCGCUGAGUGGGCAGGGACUCUACUUUGUUUUCUAAGAAACUUCUAAUGCCCAAAAGAGUGCCUAACCAUGGAAGAUGUUCUGGAAAUAUCUGUUGAAUGACUGAAUGGCGGGAAUGACCUUGGAAUUCCAGGCACUGCUGGGGCAACAAAGACCUUGUUUUGUUUCAGGAAGAGGCUGGUUGCGUGCAGUUUGGGUUUUUGGAGGUGGAGAACUAACGGCUUCGGAACAGGCUUCAUUUGCUUUCUCUUCAUCCCAGACUGGGCCCUGUGGUUACAAACAAGCGAGAGCCCACCCCUAUUUGUUCUCGGAGGAAACUAUAAAGUCACCACAAAUUGGAGUGCGGAUGUUGCAGUUUACGAGGUUAAGUGCACUAAGCUGUGUAAAUUGGGAGUGUUUCUAGCCUGGCUGUGCCCUCAAAGCAUUAGAGAGCCAUUUUCCCUAAAUGUGUGUUUGGGGAACUCAGCUAAACUGUGGCUUUCGCAACACAGUGUCACGUUGAAGUUGAAUAAUCCAGACUAUGGGAAAUCUAUGUGCAGUUACUAUGGCUGCCUUGUCUGGGCCCAGAAACCAGGCCCCAUCCAUCCAUCCGUCCAUCCGUCCAUCCAUCCAUUUGACAAGUCCAUACUGAGCGCCUCCUGUGGGCCAGACACCAGAGUGGAUAAGGCCAACACAGACUCCAAGAACAGGAUGAAUAUUCCUGCUGUGGGGACUGCUUGGGCCUGGGGCUGGGAGGAGCAAAGGGCACUCUCUGUGGGUCACGGAGGCUGUGGGUCAGGGAAGUGAAGAGACCUGGAGAUCUGGGGAAUGGGGAGGUCAUAGGAAUCAGGCCUCAGCCUUAUGGAAUCAGGCAGGGGCCACGAGGGUAGGAUUUAGGGGUUUGUGAGCCCCAAGAGUCACUGCUGCUGGAGGGCAUGUCACACCUUCUCAGGACUCUCUUGAUGGUCUCCCAAGCCUUCAGUAACAUUCUUGGGGCUUCCAGGUACACACAGGUGCAGGGAGAGGGGGAGAAAUAGAGAAGGUGGUUACCAGACAACGAGAGGUGAGCUGGAGCAGCAAAUGUUAGAGAGGUGGAUGCAGACAGGGUGACAAGUGGAUAUACAGGACACCCAGAAAUACUCCCUAAAACAGACAACUAUCCUUUCAAAUGAAUGAAUGAAUGGAAAAGCUUUAGAGUGUCAAACAUAAAGAGGGUCCUGGAAGCCUGGGUGUUAGGGAGCUCCAAAGCUGCAGGGAGUCCUCAGGUCAUUUGCACAUAUAUCUUCAUGAUCUAGAUCAGAGUUUCUCAAUAGCAGCACUGUUGACAUUUUGGGCAGAAUUAUUUUUUUGCUGGGACGGGACCUGUCCUGUGCAUUGUAGGAUGUUUGGCAGCAACCUUGGCCUCUACCCAAGAGAUAUCAAUAGCAACUCUCUCCUCUAGUGGUGACAACCAGAAAUGUCUCCUGAGGGAACAAAGUUGUCCAGGUCCAGAAAUAAAGGUCUAGAAGAAGAAGGAAACAAGCUGUGGGCUCUCAUGGUGAGGAGUUGUAACUGAGACCUCUGUGAAAAACCAGGGCUUUCAAAGGCUGCACUUUGGGUGAAAGGAUAGAGAAGAAAAAGUCCAUCCAGUGGCAAAGAGAAAUGGUAAGAAUAAUUGUCUAUUUCAGCAUGUGCUCCAGGUAGAAAGAAAAGCCUUUACAUUUGUAACAAUAUGCCCCCACACACAGGGGUUUAGGGUAAACAUUUGCAUUACCUAUGUGUUCCAGGAAACUCCCAAGUGGUGAAAUUAACCCCAAGUAUGUUGGUAGUACCUGAGGCACCUGGCAGAAGCAAAAGUUAAUUCUCCCUGGAGAGAUACACCCUUGACUCCUGCUGUAAGUGUUCUCAGGGAUAGAGCUCAACCAAGCUUGAGUUUACAAUACAAAAUUACAAAGCACAUGAGGAAUCUCAUGAGUGAGUCGGUGAAAACAACAAAUGGUAGAAUUAGCCUUCAAAACUUAAGAUAUCUAGAUGAUCAGAUCCGGGAUAUUAAAAAAAAUUGCUUGUUUAAAAUGUUUAGAGAAAUAAAGAUGCUACCAGGAAAACCAGGCAAAUAUGACAAUGAACAAAGACUCAGAAAUGAAAGUGGUAAUGUUGAAAUUUAAACCCAAUGUUUGGUUAAACAACAAAUUAGAUACCGUUGAAGAGAUAGUUAGUGAACUGGAAAAUAGAUUUGAAGAAAUAAUUGGCCAUAACGCAGCACACAGAGAAUACGAACAAGUGGGAAAAAGACAUGGGAUAUAGAAUGAGGAGUUUAACAAAUAUCAUCUAGGAAUUCCUGCAGAGAUAGCUGAGAGAACUGGGGGAGGCAAUUUUAACAAUAUGUUGAUGAGAGAUUUUUCCAGAAAUGAUAAAAAAAAAAAAAAA